RNAcentral lists this ribosomal RNA (444 nucleotides) under uncultured Erysipelothrix sp. RNAcentral's name for it is "bacterial SSU rRNA". It matches the Rfam family "Bacterial small subunit ribosomal RNA", at positions 933 to 1382 of the family's 1533-position model. Lineage: Bacteria; Bacillati; Bacillota; Erysipelotrichia; Erysipelotrichales; Erysipelotrichaceae. The record is from RNAcentral.
UGGAUUAUGUUGUUUAAUUCGACGCAACGCGAAGAACCUUACCAGGCCUUGACAUACUCGGCAAAGCUCUAGAGAUAGAGUGGAGGUUAUCCGGGAUACAGGUGGUGCAUGGUUGUCGUCAGCUCGUGUCGUGAGAUGUUGGGUUAAGUCCCGCAACGAGCGCAACCCUUGUCUUUAGUUACCAUCAUUCAGUUGGGGACUCUAGAGAGACUGCCGGUGAUAAACCGGAGGAAGGUGGGGAUGACGUCAAAUCAUCAUGCCCCUUAUGGCCUGGGCUACAAACGUAAUACAAUGGCGUAUACAAAGGGAUGCGAAAGGGCGACCUGGAGCAAAAUUCACAAAGUACGUCUCAGUUCAGAUUGGAGUCUGCAACUCGACUCCAUGAGGGCGGAAUCGCUAGUAAUCGCGGAUCAGCAUGCCGCGGUGAAUACGUUCCCGGGCCUU